CCCUUAGAUGUUCUGGGCCGCACGCGCACUACAAUGGUCUUCGCAAACGGAUGCAUUCUCGAAGGAGAAUGCCAAUCUUGGAAUCUAUGCCUUGGUCGGGACAGUUGCUUGCAAUUUUUCGACUCGAACCAGGAAUUCCUUGUAAUCGUGAUUCAUCACAUCACGAUGAAUACGUCCCUGCCCUUUGUACACACCGCCCGUCGCUCCUACCGAUCGAAGAGUUAGGUGAAUUGUUUUGAUCGAUAAGAUUUGACUAUGGUCAACUCUCGUUGUGAAAUUCUGUGAAUCUGACUGUUUAGAGGAAGGAAAAGUCGUAACA
This 319-nucleotide ribosomal RNA is filed under the name uncultured eukaryote. RNAcentral describes it as "partial 18S ribosomal RNA". It matches the Rfam family "Eukaryotic small subunit ribosomal RNA", at positions 1470 to 1796 of the family's 1831-position model. The record is from RNAcentral.